AUUCUCAUCCCUACUCCCUAGCUCGCUCUCUCGACUGCCGACAACCUACCUGCACGCCUGCACACAUCGCCGCCCGCCCUGAGGUAUUGAGCACAGAAUGCCUAACCACCUGAUUUGGCCGCCCCGACCCGAUGGACUCGGAUGAGGAGGCCGAUAAGGAAGAGGCAGCAGCAACUUCGGCGCAGACGCACGAGAUUGCGCAUGACAUUCUACUGGCUGAUGCAUUCAAUCUGGAUGAUGAAAUCCGGUCCUCGUAUUUGGAGACAGACUGAAGAGUAUGCUAUCCUUGAUGGUGUUCCUUCUACAACUUCAACUUAAUGAUUUUAAAAAAAUUCUUAAUAUGUUCGCCCCGGCAAACCUCAAUUUAUGGGUCCGCCACUGGUGACGGCAUGGUGAUGUUCGCCUUCGUGGUUGGCGACGUGGUGAUGCGUAUGACCGGUGUGGUCAUGGUGGUGUUCGUCUGCGUGGUCGGCGACGUGGUGAUGCUCGUGACCGGCGUGACAGCGGUGUCAUGGUGGUCUUCGUCUUUGUGGUCGGCGACGUGGUGAUGCUUAUGAACGGCGGUGUCAUGGUGGUAUUCAUCUUCGUGGUCGGCGACGUGUCCAUGCUUGUGAACGGCGUGACCGGCGGUGGCAUGGUGGUCUUCGUCUUCGUGGUCGGCGACGUGAUGAUGCUUAUGACCGGUGGUGCCAUGGUGGUUACUUGCUUCGUGGUCGGCAACGUGCUCAUGUUUGUGAUGGGUGAGGUAAGGUCACCAUGUUUUCAUGCAGGUGAGGCUAGGAGAAACAUGUGAGGAACCAAACAAUGGGGACUCGGGCCGGGGCAGAAAUGAGCGGCUCAGGUGACCAAACAACAUAGCUUUUGUGGCCUAUGGCCCGUCUCUGACGCGCAGGUGGUUUCUUCAACUGGCGUAGUGGUGCAAAAUAUUAGCUUAGGUAACCAAACGCGCUCAAAGUGUUUUAGUUAAGUCUUGUAGAGAGCAAGGUGCAGUUUUUGUGUAAUAGGACGCAAAACAAUAUGCGUAUGUAUCCAUGCACUUAAUCUUCUAAGUGAACUAUAUGAUGCACAGUGAGGACGUCAAGGUAGCA
Molecule: non-coding RNA, 1088 nt
Organism: Lolium perenne
Lineage: Eukaryota; Viridiplantae; Streptophyta; Magnoliopsida; Poales; Poaceae
Source: RefSeq, a predicted model, not a curated record